Molecule: long non-coding RNA, 1217 nt
Organism: Eriocheir sinensis (Chinese mitten crab)
Lineage: Eukaryota; Metazoa; Arthropoda; Malacostraca; Decapoda; Varunidae
Exons: 7
Source: RefSeq, a predicted model, not a curated record
GCCACAUACAUAAAAAGCUUACUCAAGCAUGCGGAAGAAAUCACCGCUAGCAUGUGGCGGUGGCGGGCCAGUAGCAAGGUGGCUGGCGCGGUGACUGGACAAGCACACAUCAUUACACACAUCAUCAUACACAAACGAACAACGAAAAACAAUGCGCAGUGUGGGGGCGGCAUGGCUUCUGUUGGUGGUGGCGCUGGUGGUAAAUUAUAUUCAUGGUGAGCCGGGUAACCGAGUGUUUAAAAAACUGGCUGGCCACCGGUCUGCUGUCGCCGAAAUCCACGCCAUGGGCAGCGUGAUCAGAUGCGCAAUGAUGUGUACCACGAAGGAAUAUCACAUCUUCAUGAUGAAUCUCACUACCUGCUUUCUUCUCACCAAGACUAAACCCUUAUUAUUGGUCAGCGAUCCUAACUACGACAUGUACAUCUCAAAUGACGUCAUUCUGCCCCUGAGAACAUCGAUAGCAGGCCCCUAUGGCGAAUGGCAGGAACCAAUCUUCUGCCCCAGUGGCCAGUACGUCUACGGCUUCACACUCUACGAAGAUACCUUUGAUGGCUUGGAUUUCCAAGUCGACGACUGCGGCGUGACAGGCGUGGAGCUGAUGUGCAUUAACCCUAGGAACUUAACCGACCGAUCAACCGUCACCCACAAAGUUGAUUACGUCUACGCCGUGCGACGAUCCAGUGUCACGUGCCCCUACUCUGACCUUGUGGACUCCUUCCGAGUCAAGAUGGCACCAGUGACAGAUCUCGAAGAUAGUACUUCUUUAAUAGACCUAAAGUUCACGUGUCAGCAGACAAGACAAGUGCUCCGGAGCUUCAUCCCUAUACAGUCAGGCAGUGAGUCUGAGGAAGUACAGUGUCCCCUCGGCCGCGUGGUGUGCGGCGUACGAACACAGGAUGUCGUCUUUAGCACUGCCUAUGACAACACCUGCCUCAAUGAUGUAAAUGUUCAGUGCUGUGUGGUCUAAACAUCUUGUCAGUAUAUUGAUAAUGUAGAAAUUUAAAUACAAUGAUAGUCACCCACCCUGCUAGAGAAUCACUCACCCAGAAAAUCAGCUAGAUAACAAGCUAGUACCAUUUAUUUAAAGAAGUUCGAUGGCACUUUAUAGUUUCAGUCAGUCAGUCCAUUAUUUGCCUUAUAAAACUCUUUACUUCUUAGUGACUUUAGACUUUACUCACAUUAUCCCCUAUUGUGGAUCUUAGAUGUCAUAUCAAAGG